RNAcentral lists this ribosomal RNA (753 nucleotides) under Lentilactobacillus buchneri. RNAcentral describes it as "bacterial SSU rRNA". It matches the Rfam family "Bacterial small subunit ribosomal RNA", at positions 49 to 758 of the family's 1533-position model. Lineage: Bacteria; Bacillati; Bacillota; Bacilli; Lactobacillales; Lactobacillaceae. The record is from RNAcentral.
UAAUACAUGCAAGUCGAACGCGUCUCCGUUAAUGAUUUUAGGUGCUUGCACUUGAAAGAUUUAACAUUGAGACGAGUGGCGAACUGGUGAGUAACACGUGGGUAACCUGCCCUUGAAGUAGGGGAUAACACUUGGAAACAGGUGCUAAUACCGUAUAACAACCAAAACCACCUGGUUUUGGUUUAAAAGACGGCUUCGGCUGUCACUUUAGGAUGGACCCGCGGCGUAUUAGCUUGUUGGUAAGGUAACGGCCUACCAAGGCGAUGAUACGUAGCCGACCUGAGAGGGUAAUCGGCCACAUUGGGACUGAGACACGGCCCAAACUCCUACGGGAGGCAGCAGUAGGGAAUCUUCCACAAUGGACGAAAGUCUGAUGGAGCAACGCCGCGUGAGUGAUGAAGGGUUUCGGCUCGUAAAACUCUGUUGUUGGAGAAGAACAGGUGUCAGAGUAACUGUUGACAUCUUGACGGUAUCCAACCAGAAAGCCACGGCUAACUACGUGCCAGCAGCCGCGGUAAUACGUAGGUGGCAAGCGUUGUCCGGAUUUAUUGGGCGUAAAGCGAGCGCAGGCGGUUUUUUAGGUCUGAUGUGAAAGCCUUCGGCUUAACCGGAGAAGUGCAUCGGAAACCGGGAGACUUGAGUGCAGAAGAGGACAGUGGAACUCCAUGUGUAGCGGUGAAAUGCGUAGAUAUAUGGAAGAACACCAGUGGCGAAGGCGGCUGUCUGGUCUGUAACUGACGCUGAGGCUCGAAA